AUUUUUGCCCGAACACUUAAACC
RNAcentral lists this small nuclear RNA (23 nucleotides) under Arabidopsis thaliana (thale cress). RNAcentral's name for it is "snRNA_02733". The record is from RNAcentral. Lineage: Eukaryota; Viridiplantae; Streptophyta; Magnoliopsida; Brassicales; Brassicaceae.